This 253-nucleotide ribosomal RNA is filed under the name uncultured bacterium. RNAcentral's name for it is "partial 16S ribosomal RNA". It matches the Rfam family "Bacterial small subunit ribosomal RNA", at positions 524 to 776 of the family's 1533-position model. The record is from RNAcentral.
UACGGAGGGGGCUAGCGUUGUUCGGAAUUACUGGGCGUAAAGCGGGUGUAGGCGGAUCUCUAAGUCGGGGGUGAAAGCCCAGGGCUCAACCCUGGAAUUGCCUUCGAUACUGGAGAUCUUGAGUGUGGGAGAGAUGAGCGGAAUUCCGAGUGUAGAGGUGAAAUUCGUAGAUAUUCGGAGGAACACCAGAGGCGAAGGCGGCUCACUGGACCAUUACUGACGCUGAGACCCGAAAGCGUGGGGAGCAAACAGG